Molecule: ribosomal RNA, 909 nt
Filed under: Chironomus fusciceps
Lineage: Eukaryota; Metazoa; Arthropoda; Insecta; Diptera; Chironomidae
Description: SSU rRNA
Rfam family: Eukaryotic small subunit ribosomal RNA
Source: RNAcentral
AAGUGAACCGCAAAGGCUCAGUAUAACAGCUGUAAUUUCUUAGAUCAUAUUCCCAGUACUUGGAUAACUGUGGAAAAUCUAGAGCUAAUACAUGCAAAUAAUGCGAGUAUCGUAAGAUUCUCGUGCAGUUAUUAGACAAACCAAUCGGUCUUCGGACUGUUUUAUAUGGUGGAACUCUAGAUAACUUUGCUGAUCGUAUGGCCUUGUGCUGACGACAGAUCUUUCAAAUGUCUGCCCUAUCAACUUUGAUGUUAGUAUAGAGGACUAACAUGGUUGCAACGGGUAACGGGGAAUCAGGGUUCGAUUCCGGAGAGGGAGCCUGAGAAAUGGCUACCACAUCUAAGGAAGGCAGCAGGCGCGUAAAUUACCCACUCCCGGCACGGGGAGGUAGUGACGAAAAAUAACAAUAUAGAACUAGUUAACUAUGUUCUGUAAUUGGAAUGAAUCAAGUUUAAAUCCUUUAAUGAGGAUCAAGUGGAGGGCAAGUCUGGUGCCAGCAGCCGCGGUAAUUCCAGCUCCACUAGCGUAUGUUAAAAUUGUUGCGGUUAAAACGUUCGAAGUUGAUUAUUGUCCAGUGCGGGUGUGACAUCAUCAAGAAAUGAUUGUCAUCACUUUCCGGUUACUUGGACUAUAUGACUGAACACUAAAUGAAUAGCAUUGAUGUCUUUAACUAGACUAGAUGUCUAUUUAGUUUGGCUUACUUUUACCUUGAACAAAUUAAAGUGCUCAAAGCAGGCUUCAUAUGCUUGAAUAGUUUUGCAUGGAAUAAUGGAAAAAGACCUCGGUCUUAUUUGUUGCGCGGGUUCGCUCGUGUAAUGAUUUUCUAUUGGUUUGAUACAGAUCAAGAGGUAAUGAUUAAUAGAAGCAGUUGGGGGCAUUAGUAUUACGGCGCGAGAGGUGAAAUUCUUA